This is a non-coding RNA of Podarcis lilfordi (Lilford's wall lizard), 117 nucleotides long. NCBI's taxonomy places the organism in Eukaryota, Metazoa, Chordata, Lepidosauria, Squamata, Lacertidae. The record is from the annotation of a GenBank genome assembly.
AAUAGCAUUAUUAUUGUUGUUGUGAGCUUUUGUGGGCAUGCACACUUCUUCAGAUCUUCGGUAUCUGAAGAAGUGUGCAUGCACACGAAAGCUCAUACCAAUAACAAACUUAGUUGG